Molecule: small nucleolar RNA, 100 nt
Organism: Macaca fascicularis (crab-eating macaque)
Lineage: Eukaryota; Metazoa; Chordata; Mammalia; Primates; Cercopithecidae
Source: Ensembl
ACCCUUCGUAGUUCAUAAGCAUGAUGAUUGGGUUUUCAUACUCAUGUGUGAGAUGUGUCUCUCAAACUUUGUGAAAAGUCAGCACAUGACCCAUCUGAUG